This 520-nucleotide ribosomal RNA is filed under the name uncultured Glomus. RNAcentral describes it as "SSU rRNA". It matches the Rfam family "Eukaryotic small subunit ribosomal RNA", at positions 569 to 1091 of the family's 1831-position model. The record is from RNAcentral. Lineage: Eukaryota; Fungi; Glomeromycota; Glomeromycetes; Glomerales; Glomeraceae.
AGCAGCCGCGGUAAUUCCAGCUCCAAUAGCGUAUAUUAAAGUUGUUGCAGUUAAAAAGCUCGUAGUUGAAUUUCGGGAUCGAUACGUCGGUCGUGCCUUCGGUACGCACUGGCGUUUAUCGAUUUCUCCCUUCUGACGAACCAUGAUGUCAUUAAUUUGGUGUUAUGGGGAAUCAGGACUGUUACUUUGAAAAAAUUAGAGUGUUUAAAGCAGGCAUUAGCUUGAAUACAUUAGCAUGGAAUAAUGAAAUAGGACGUUCGAACCUAUUUUGUUGGUUUUUAGGAUCAACGUAAUGAUUAAUAGGGAUAGUUGGGGGCAUUAGUAUUCAAUUGUCAGAGGUGAAAUUCUUGGAUUUAUUGAAGACUAACUACUGCGAAAGCAUUUGCCAAGGAUGUUUUCAUUAAUCAAGAACGAAAGUUAGGGGAUCGAAGACGAUCAGAUACCGUCGUAGUCUUAACCAUAAACUAUGCCGACUAGGGAUCGGAUGAUGUUAAUUUUUAUGACUCAUUCGGCGCCUUAC